ACUGAUGACGUUACCUUGUGAAAUUCCUUC
This 30-nucleotide non-coding RNA is filed under the name Homo sapiens (human). The record is from RNAcentral. Lineage: Eukaryota; Metazoa; Chordata; Mammalia; Primates; Hominidae.